GCGGCCGUGGUCUAGCCUGGUCUAGGACUCGGGCCUUCCAAGCUCUCGGGAAACCCGGGUUCAAAUCCCGGCGGCCGCA
This 79-nucleotide transfer RNA is filed under the name Thermoprotei archaeon. Its description in RNAcentral is "tRNA-Gly". It matches the Rfam family "tRNA". Rfam says of the family: Transfer RNA (tRNA) molecules are approximately 80 nucleotides in length. Lineage: Archaea; Thermoproteati; Thermoproteota; Thermoprotei. The record is from RNAcentral.